Molecule: ribosomal RNA, 520 nt
Filed under: uncultured Glomus
Lineage: Eukaryota; Fungi; Glomeromycota; Glomeromycetes; Glomerales; Glomeraceae
Description: SSU rRNA
Rfam family: Eukaryotic small subunit ribosomal RNA
Source: RNAcentral
AGCAGCCGCGGUAAUUCCAGCUCCAAUAGCGUAUAUUAAAGUUGUUGCAGUUAAAAAGCUCGUAGUUGAAUUUCGGGAUCAAUACGUUGGUCGUGCUUCGGUACGUACUGGCGUAAUUGAUUUCUCCCUUCUGACGAACCAUGAUGUCAUUAACUUGGUGUCAUGGGAAAUCAGGACUGUUACUUUGAAAAAAUUAGAGUGUUUAAAGCAGGCAUUAGCUUGAAUACAUUAGCAUGGAAUAAUGAAAUAGGACGUUUGACCCUAUUUUGUUGGUUUUUAGGAUCGACGUAAUGAUUAAUAGGGAUAGUUGGGGGCAUUAGUAUUCAAUUGUCAGAGGUGAAAUUCUUGGAUUUAUUGAAGACUAACUACUGCGAAAGCAUUUGCCAAGGAUGUUUUCAUUAAUCAAGAACGAAAGUUAGGGGAUCGAAGACGAUCAGAUACCGUCGUAGUCUUAACCAUAAACUAUGCCGACUAGGGAUCGGAUGAUGUUAAUUUUUAAUGACUCAUUCGGCGCCUUACG